RNAcentral lists this long non-coding RNA (226 nucleotides) under Elaeis guineensis (African oil palm). RNAcentral describes it as "long non-coding RNA (EGUI_LNC014681)". Lineage: Eukaryota; Viridiplantae; Streptophyta; Magnoliopsida; Arecales; Arecaceae. The record is from RNAcentral.
GAUCCAUGAACUGACCAUGAAGCAGCUCACUGAGGAGGAAACCAGAAGAAAGAAAAUCAUAGCCCUCAAGUCAAUAGCUCAAGAAGAGGAUGACUCAGAAAAAUCAGACAACAGUGAAGAAGAUGAGGACUUAGCCCUGAUCACUAGAAAAUUCAGAUGGUUCAUGAGAAGAAAAAGACAAGGGACCAAGAGAAGGCCACCAGCUAAGGGAGAGCCAAGUAAAGAG